This is a long non-coding RNA of Rhinopithecus roxellana (golden snub-nosed monkey), 3178 nucleotides long. RefSeq lists it as uncharacterized. The transcript has 7 exons. NCBI's taxonomy places the organism in Eukaryota, Metazoa, Chordata, Mammalia, Primates, Cercopithecidae. The record is from RefSeq and is a predicted model, not a curated record.
AAACUUGACGUACACACGCAGUCCUAUCCCUACGGUCCUGGAAUUGGGGGUUACUAUCUUGGAAUCUGGGGGCACUCCAGGCUCUGGGCUCAGACGGCUGACUUCUGCCUAUCCCAGCCUUAACCUUUCAAAGACGGGAAGGAUUCCGGAGCUCUUGCCCUAAGUCCUGGGGCAGCGAUGACUCACCGCAGCACCCCCUCCCACUUCGCCAAGCUGCCGUCUCCGCCCACCCCCAAACAAUCUCGACAGCGCAUUUCGGGAGCCACGGCUCCGGGCGCUCUGCUGGGGGCUAAAGGGGUUUAUCCCUUUCCUUUAAUUCCAGCAGGCUAGAACUACCCCCUCCCAGGCUUCAGGCUUGCCAUGCUCCCCACCCGAUCCUUCCAAUGCAAGGCAGAGAAGGAAGGAUGCGCUUGGGAACUCUGAGAGCCGCGAACGACAGCGCACUGAUGGAGCAGCCCAGUGUCCGGGGCAAAGUCCUCGAGGUUCAUUCAUUCAGCAAGCCUCUGUCCAGCCUUUACCAUGUGCUGAGUGAGAAGCUGAGGAUAAGGAAGAGAAAGACCCCCAAGAAACUCUAAUGUCUGGCUGAAAGCUGAAGCAUGACGCAACUUUGCUAUAGUUCUCUCCAACAAGGAUUUGUAUAUUUUCACUUUCUCCUCAAGCAACACCUGGACCUGCUCCUUUCCCUCAGUCUCCAAGUUCCUUUAUGAAAUAGGGUGUACCAUCAGAGAUGCAGGUAUUUAUUGAAACCUGCUUUGUGCUGGGCAAUAUACCAGAUGUUGGGGAUAAAAUAGAGCCUUCAGAAAUGAAGAUGCAAAGAAACAGGGGAAAACCAUGUAUAUUUACGGACAGUCAUGCCAAAGUAUGAUUGGAGGACAAAAAGACCUGCGAUCUCACUAUGUUGCCUAGGCUGGUCUAAAAACUCCUGGCCUCAAGUGAUCCCCCCCGCCUUGGCCUCCACAGUGCUGGAAUUACAGGUAAGCAUCACUGCGUGACUCAGUUCUGGCCAAUGAGAUGGGAAGGAACUCUUCUGGGACGGAAAAAGCUUUUAUCGUUGUUAAUAAAAAGGAGAAUGCCUCUACAGGAAAAGAUCUUUUUCAAUACCACUCUGUUGCCCACUUCCUGCCUUGAUGUUGUUUGGAGCUACAGCGCCCAUCUUGAGAUAAUGAGGAAAAACACACAUUGUAAAAUAAGAAUCCUUCAAAGACAACUUGAGGACGUCUGGGAAUUCUGAAGCCUGAAAAUUCCAUGACUUCAUAGCAGUAUUCACUAAUUCCCCUGAUCUAAAGACAAAAAGGAGGGUCAACUGCAGUGCCCAAACUCAUUUCUGAUGAUUUCUUCCAUCCUACCUUUUCUGCCUCUCUGGGGGUGGUUAUGCCUGUGAAAAACAUCGAAGCUGUCAGGAAUACAGUAGGCUUUCAAGACUGGAAUGUCAAAGUAGAGUCUUCUUUUCCUCAGACCAGAAGAGUUUCCAGAUCUAAACAAAGACAAGACUGGGAUAUAGGAGGUUGUACACAUAAACAGCGCAAACACCUUGGGUAAGUCAUAUACAAGAGAGACCAAAACAGGGCAGGAACACAAUCCUAAAGCUACAUGAGAUAAGAAGCCAAGAGACCCUGUCUGCAGGCUGAUCUGUGUUGCAACCAGAGGCCAACUACACGCAAGAAAAUUCUAAAUGAUGUAAUUGGUCAUGGGCACUUUCUUGCAAAAACGAUCGACAUUUUUUCUUAUAGGGAUAAAGCUUGAAAGCAUGCGAUGUAGCUCCAUUAGGAAAUAUGAAGUGAGCUGGUAUAUUCCAGGUAGGUUAGACUGAGAUCAUUACAAAAUUGGGCUGAUUUUACACUGAGAAGAACCUGAUUCCUAAAGGUGUUGAAGGACAAGAUGGGGACAGUUAUUAAAGUGUUCAGGUGCUGUCCUUUGUAGUCUGUAGCCUAUUAAUACACAACUGAACACAGACCCAAGAAAAGGGGUUCUACUCAUUGCUAGAAUGUAAACUCUAAGAAGAUAAGGAUUUUGUCUCUUCGUUUACUACUGUAUUCCCAGCUCCUAGAAGAGUGCCCAGCACUUAGUAUCUGUUGGUAAGUGACUGUUGAAUUAAUCAACCAGUGGUGAGACUUUGGAAAGCAGCUAGUCCAUCUGUAAGACUGUUUUCUCAUCUGUGAGAUGAGUCGGUUAGAUUAGAUGUUUUCUAAGCUUAUUCUAGUUUUAAAAAUUGUGUGUUUCUAUCAGAAAUGAUAAACGAAAAUGUCCGUUCCUUUUUAAUCUCCAUCACCCAUCUCACAUCUUCUUUCAGUGCCUAUGUGGUCUGUUUGAGUACAACCAACCAGAUGUAGGAAAGUUCUAACUGAUAUGAGACGACUUCAGUAGUCCAGUGACUCUCCCCCCCACCGCCCCCCCGUAAAGUCAUUUGCUUAGUUUAAUGUAUAUUAUAAAAACAGAAUUAGUUUCUCAAUUCCAUUUAUAGUCAUACGAUAGUUUACUUUUCACAUAAAUUUAAGGUACAAGGAAGUCAACUUAAAGAAAAUAUUUUAAGUAAAUUACAACGCAAGUUCUGCACAGAUGUAGCACAAACCACAAUGGUAGGACACCAACAAUCGCAAUUUGAGAAAUAAGCCUCUUCAUCAGUACUCAUGGCACGUAGCUUAAAACCUGACUUUCACUAGUGCUCUCAAAGGGACUAAGUCACAAUUCAAGUGACCAUACCAUUUAGCUGAGGGCCCUUUAUUCCUGUUUAUGGUAAAAUAAUUGCCUUACUUGAACUUUUAAAAAAUAUACUUUUUCUGCUUCUGACCAUAAUGGGCUAGCUGCCAUUAAAGAGACCAUCUAUCAGAAACAAUUAGAAAACCGGAUGGAAUAUACGAAGCCACUGUUUUUGGACAAUAGGCAGCACAACACUAUGAUCCCUGAGAAAAAGGAAGGAAAUGAGGUGAUGCCUACAAUUGCCCUGAUUUUUUGCCUAGAGAUACUAUCCGAACUGCUACUCUGGAAAGGAAAACCCAGGUGAAACAUGGGGCCUCACCGAGUAGAGGACACAGGGAUCAAUAUUGGGAAAGCUGAAAUGACUGGAAUUUGUAGGACAGAGUAUGUGGAAGGAAGGAGCUAUGUAGGGAAAGAGCUCAAGAAAUACGCACAAAGGGUGGGUGCAGUGGCUCACAUCUGUAAUCCCAGCACUUUGGGAGGC